This is a long non-coding RNA of Mytilus trossulus (common blue mussel), 2176 nucleotides long. RefSeq lists it as uncharacterized. The transcript has 5 exons. NCBI's taxonomy places the organism in Eukaryota, Metazoa, Mollusca, Bivalvia, Mytilida, Mytilidae. The record is from RefSeq and is a predicted model, not a curated record.
AUUUCCUGGGCAAUGUCCUAUCCCCCAAAUCGAUGAGCAUGUAAAUUGCGUAAACUUUUAUGUUAUAGUUAUUGCUUUGUCAACUAAUAAAGUUCGCGUACCGACUACUUUUGCUAACAGAGAUGAAAGUUGCAUGGAUUUUAUUGCUGUCUUUAGUCCUUGUCUUCCUCUUGGAAGAUUGCGAUGCAUGGAGGCGUAGAAUAAGAAUAAGAGCCAGGCGUUUUACCAGAAAGAUAUUACCCAGAAUUCGAGGAAGACGUCUUCUACGCAAAAUAGUUCAUGCAGUAAAAAAAACCUUCAAAACAAUUGCAAAAGUAGCUAUAAUUUCCAGUCCAUCUCGGUUUGUAUCGUAAGUAGUAUACGCGAGAUUCAAAGGAAGAAGGCUGAUAGCAGGAUUACGUGGACAAACAAGUAUAGCUGAUAUCAUAUGCGGAGGUUCAUGGUUAAAUGACAGAUGCACGUGGUUCUGUGAUAACAUAUGUAAAGUAUUCGGGGCUAAUGAUACGCUCAACUGGCCUGGAGAAUUGGUCUUGUUACCAUGCAAAUUUUCAGAAUACGAUUAUACUCGCAGUGGAUAUUUUUAUCCUGCAGAUCUGGCUUAUCAUGUGGGAGAGCGUGGGCAAGAAUCUGACAACUUGAUGGUUUUCAAAUAUUUAGAUGAAAAUGGCGAUGGUAAAGUCUCCUCACAAGAGUUCAGCCAAACAAGUAAAUAUCUACUGACUGACCAAGAAUCUUGUAAAAGCACCAAGGAGGUUUGAAAAGUCUCAACGACAGACACUACUACAAUAAGUGAAUUUCGACAGAAUAUAAUUAACCAUCAUAAUGAUAAUCAACAUACAUUGAUAAUGACUGCGUUGCUUUUUAGUACUAGUAUUUUAUUUUUGUUGUAUGUGUAGUAAAUUUGCUGUGCAAUUGACCUAUUAAUCUGCAUCUUUUUUUCUUUUUCAUAUCACAUUCAAAUGUAAACAUGACAUCGACCAAAAAUAGUUUACAUUAAUUUUUACUUCAAAAAUCACCAAUUUUCAGGAUAUUUUCCUAAAUUAUCACAUUUCUAAUUUUAAUUGGUAUAAUUAAACUUCGUCAGCGCACCAAACUCUAUAUUCAGGUUUUGGAAGUCAAAUCUUCAUAGCAGUAAAAAGUAGAUAAUUUUUAUUUGAAUGUGCUAAAUUGAGGUUGCACCACUUUUUUGCAAACUUGAUCUUGUACAGUUUUGAUUUUUGUUAAGUAUAGAAUUAAGAUGCUUUUUAAGAUUCCCAAAAGAACAACUGUUGUUCAUUGAAACCAGGCAAUAAUAUUUAAUUUGGCCCUUUGGUUUUCAUUCUCUAAAACUGUUUUUGUUUUUGGUUGGUGUUGUACUCUGUUUACAUUUUAACAUUUACAUUUAAAAAGGAUUGAUUUUACUCUAGAACAAUUUAACAAUAAAUUAACCAAUUUUGAAAAGAAGUCCUUUUUUUUUGCCUGUAAAAAAAGUCAAGAAUCCGAUAUCCUUGUUAUCAUUCCAGUUGGGGAGUCAUCUAGGCAUCCAUAUGGGUUCAUGCGCGCAUUAAAAGUAUGGCGCCUGGGUUUAUCCUAGAAGUUUGGCACAAAAUUGGAAAUGGACUGUUGAUGAACAUGUAGAAUAUCAAAGGUACAAAACUUUUGAAAAACAUAUUUCUUCAAACAUUAAGAGUGUUGAAAAACACAAUAUGUACUGGAACCCCUCGGUUAAGGCCACAUUAACGUACUGAUGUACUAAUCUGAUGUUCAGUGGUUCAGUAUAUAGAUUAGACCGUUGGGUUUCCCGUUUGAAUGGUUUUACACUAGUAACGUUUUCGGGUUCUUUAUUGCUUGCUGUUCGGUUUGAACCAAGUCUCCGUUUUGAAGACUGUACCUUGACAUAUAUUUUACUUUUGUUAAGUGUGACUUUGAAGAGUUGUCUCAUUGGUACUCAUACCACAUCUUCCUAAAAUUACUCUAGAUCUAUAUACUGUAAUUGUAGUUACGAUUAUCACGAUAUAAUGAAAAUGAUAUACUUCGUCCUUAUAGUUAUACUGGUAUACUUCGUCCUUAAAGUUAUACUGGUAUACUUCGUCCUUAUAGUUAAACUGGUAUAUACUUCGUCCUUAUAGUUAUACUAGUAUAUCGUUUGUUAUUUUCCCCCUUUUAUUUGCUUGAUUAUACUUAUUUAUUUCGCUUG